GAUGAACGCUGGCUGUGUGCCUAAUACAUGCAUGUCGAGCGGAAGUAGCAAUACUUUAGCGGCGAAUGGGUGAGUAACACGUGCUUAAUCUACCUCUUAGAUUGGAAUACCUAAUGGAAACAUUGGUUAAUGCCGGAUACGCAUGGAGUCGCAUGACUCCGUUGUGAAAGGGGCCUUUAAAGCUCCACUAAGAGAUGAGGGUGCGGAACAUUAGCUAGUUGGUGAGGUAACGGCCCACCAAGGCUAUGAUGUUUAGCCGGGUCGAGAGACUGAACGGCCACAUUGGGACUGAGAUACGGCCCAAACUCCUACGGGAGGCAGCAGUAGGGAAUAUUCCACAAUGAGCGAAAGCUUGAUGGAGCGACACAGCGUGCACGAUGAAGGUCUUAUGGAUUGUAAAGUGCUGUUGCAAAGGGA
Molecule: ribosomal RNA, 417 nt
Filed under: Metamycoplasma salivarium
Lineage: Bacteria; Bacillati; Mycoplasmatota; Mycoplasmoidales; Metamycoplasmataceae
Description: bacterial SSU rRNA
Rfam family: Bacterial small subunit ribosomal RNA
Source: RNAcentral